RNAcentral lists this ribosomal RNA (728 nucleotides) under uncultured bacterium. Its description in RNAcentral is "bacterial SSU rRNA". It matches the Rfam family "Bacterial small subunit ribosomal RNA", at positions 33 to 773 of the family's 1533-position model. The record is from RNAcentral.
ACGCUGGCGGCGUGCUUAACACAUGCAAGUCGAACGAUGAUGCCCAGCUUGCUGGGUGGAUUAGUGGCGAACGGGUGAGUAACACGUGAGUAACCUGCCCCUGACUCUGGGAUAAGCGUUGGAAACGACGUCUAAUACUGGAUAUGAUCACUGGCCGCAUGGUCUGGUGGUGGAAAGAUUUUUUGGUUGGGGAUGGACUCGCGGCCUAUCAGCUUGUUGGUGAGGUAAUGGCUCACCAAGGCGACGACGGGUAGCCGGCCUGAGAGGGUGACCGGCCACACUGGGACUGAGACACGGCCCAGACUCCUACGGGAGGCAGCAGUGGGGAAUAUUGCACAAUGGGCGAAAGCCUGAUGCAGCAACGCCGCGUGAGGGAUGACGCCCUUCGGGUUGUAAACCUCUUUUAGUAGGGAAGAAGCGAAAGUGACGGUACCUGCAGAAAAAGCACCGGCUAACUACGUGCCAGCAGCCGCGGUAAUACGUAGGGUGCAAGCGUUGUCCGGAAUUAUUGGGCGUAAAGAGCUCGUAGGCGGUUUGUCGCGUCUGCUGUGAAAUCCCGAGGCUCAACCUCGGGCUUGCAGUGGGUACGGGCAGACUAGAGUGCGGUAGGGGAGAUUGGAAUUCCUGGUGUAGCGGUGGAAUGCGCAGAUAUCAGGAGGAACACCGAUGGCGAAGGCAGAUCUCUGGGCCGUAACUGACGCUGAGGAGCGAAAGCAUGGGGAGCGAAC